UACGUAGGGUGCAAGCGUUGUCCGGAAUUAUUGGGCGUAAAGGGCUCGUAGGCGGCCAACUAAGUCAGACGUGAAAUCCCUCGGCUUAACCGGGGAACUGCGUCUGAUACUGGAUGGCUUGAAUCCGGGAGAGGGAUGCGGAAUUCCAGGUGUAGCGGUGAAAUGCGUAGAUAUCUGGAGGAACACCGGUGGCGAAGGCGGCAUCCUGGACCGGCAUUGACGCUGAGGAGCGAAAGCCAGGGGAGCAAACGGG
RNAcentral lists this ribosomal RNA (253 nucleotides) under uncultured bacterium. RNAcentral describes it as "partial 16S ribosomal RNA". It matches the Rfam family "Bacterial small subunit ribosomal RNA", at positions 524 to 776 of the family's 1533-position model. The record is from RNAcentral.